This 424-nucleotide ribosomal RNA is filed under the name uncultured cyanobacterium. RNAcentral's name for it is "bacterial SSU rRNA". It matches the Rfam family "Bacterial small subunit ribosomal RNA", at positions 356 to 795 of the family's 1533-position model. Lineage: Bacteria; Bacillati; Cyanobacteriota. The record is from RNAcentral.
GGGGAAUUUUCCGCAAUGGGCGCAAGCCUGACGGAGCAACGCCGCGUGAGGGAUGAAGGCCUCUGGGCUGUAAACCUCUUUUCUCAAGGAAGAAGAUCUGACGGUACUUGAGGAAUAAGCCACGGCUAAUUCCGUGCCAGCAGCCGCGGUAAUACGGGAGUGGCAAGCGUUAUCCGGAAUUAUUGGGCGUAAAGCGUCCGCAGGCGGCCUUGAAAGUCUGUUGUUAAAGCGUGGAGCUUAACUCCAUUUCAGCAAUGGAAACUACAAGGCUAGAGUGUGGUAGGGGCAGAGGGAAUUCCCGGUGUAGCGGUGAAAUGCGUAGAUAUCGGGAAGAACACCAGUGGCGAAGGCGCUCUGCUGGGCCAUAACUGACGCUCAUGGACGAAAGCCAGGGGAGCGAAAGGGAUUAGAUACCCCAGUAGUC